UAAUCAUUUUCUGCCAACAAUUUCAUAGAUGAAUUGCAAAAGAAUAAUUCAAACGGUAAGCUAAUUGAUAAUUUUGCUUAUUCUGCCAACAAUUUCAUAGAGAGUUCCAACUCCAACACCCAGCUUUCACCUCAUGCGAAUUUUACUGGGACAACGUCAUAUGUGGUACCAGAGUCAGAAACCAUCUUGAAAUGUGAUGAUUCCACUGAACAUAUUAUGCACAAACAACGUUUAGGAGAAAUGGAUGAACUUGAUGCAGAACUUGCAGCUAAGUUUGAACGUUUGUAGCUUAGCUUGGAUACAGAACAGGCUCAGCACCAAUGUUCAAAGGAUGUUAUGGACACUGCUUCUUCAGUAAGCCAGAGCCUGAGUUAUGGGGAGGUAAUACCAUCCCCGGUCUUCCAAAUACAAUAAAAGAAAUAUAGAACUAAUGGAAAAGGAAACGUGUCUUUGGGCAAGGCUACUGGGUCAUUGUUUAAAGUUUCAAGUGAUUGAUAUUAAUAUGCUAAUAUAAUUAUAUUUUGAGAGUUUGCAGUACUCUUCUUUCUAGUAGCUGACAGUGAGAGACGAUAGUGUACUUGAUGAGGAAAUGUUGUUGAUCUUAAGGUCCUCUUGAUUGGAGAAGAGGUGGGAAAUUUGUAUUUAUUUUUUCUUAGUGCUCUUUCAUUCUUUUUGUUCUUCAUUUUUCUUCAAAUUGUUUUUCAUUCCAGGUUGGGGAAUACCAAGAAGCAUACAAGGUUGGAUUUUCUUAUUUAUUGAAAAGAUGAAUUUUUUUUCUUAUGUAAUCUUCUUUACAAACUCUUGUCUAAUACUGCCCAUUUCCCCUAUGCUUUUGCAUAGAUAUUCAAAGAUCUUUUGGACAAGUAUGGCCCUGACAGAGUUCUUGAUACUCCAAUCAGAGAGGUACGUUUUGUUACUUGCCAUGUUGACCUUUCUCCUGUUUUUUUUUUUUUUUGUUGGUUUGUGUGGGAAGAUGGGUCUAGUUACGUAGAUAUAAUUCAUGGUAUUAUUAUGGCUUAUUUUUCCUUGUAUUGAAUCAUAUAUUAAUAAUAACAUGUUAUUCAAUUCUUAAAACUGGCCAUUUGAUUUUUGGAAGUAAGAAAGGAGAUUAUUCUUGUUUAUUUACUUUAGUAGCAGCACUUGCAUGACCUGAGCUACCUAACAUGAGUUAGUUUUAAUUUCUUUAUUUGUUUUGAAUUUAUGUUCUCUCUCUUUCUCCUUUUCUUUUUUAUUUUGAAACAUCUCAGUUUGAGAAAAAAUUGUGUCAAUGAUCUUUUUUUUUUAUGGAUCUGUUUAGAAUGGCUUAAGCUUGAAUAUAUUUAGCAAUGACACUAUUCUGUAUAUCUUCUGCCAUCUUGAAUUAUCUCAAUUUCUUUGUACGCUUUGUUGAUAUUUCAGAUUGUUAAGGCUCAAGCUCAAUUAGAUUUAGGUAUCUCAAUUGUCUUAUAAUAUUGAUAUUUUGUCUUGCAUUAUAGUUUUAAGGUGAAUGUUGAAAAAGAGGAGAGAAGUGACAUUCUCAACAUUUCUAAAAUCUGAUGUUUUUUUCUAUGGAUUUUCCCAACCCGCAUUUUUCUUUUUGAGAAGUGGUGAAUGCUUUUGUAGCCAUUUCUUUGGGUGCACCAAUAGGUAUGCCACUUGCAAGCUUGGCAUGCUAUUCUUGUUUAGGCUCAUAAUACCGAGCUAGAAGAUGAACCUCCAACAAAAAGACGACUUUCAUCAGCCUUUGUCAAGGUGACUGGACAAUAACACUUUGAGUGGAGCAAUUCCUGCAUCUUUGGCUAACAUGACACAGCUUGCCUUCCUGGACCUGUCAUACAACAAUCUAAGUGGUCCAGUACCAAGGUUUCCUGCCAAGACCUUCAAGUA
This is a long non-coding RNA of Humulus lupulus (European hop), 1866 nucleotides long. RefSeq lists it as uncharacterized. Lineage: Eukaryota; Viridiplantae; Streptophyta; Magnoliopsida; Rosales; Cannabaceae. The transcript has 6 exons. The record is from RefSeq and is a predicted model, not a curated record.